CCUACGGGAGGCUGCAGUGGGGAAAAUUGCACAAUGGGCGCAAGCCUGAUGCAGCCAUGCCGCGUGUGUGAAGAAGGCCUUCGGGUUGUAAAGCACUUUCAGCGGGGAGGAAGGCGUUAAGGUUAAUAACCUUGUCGAUUGACGUUACCCGCAGAAGAAGCACCGGCUAACUCCGUGCCAGCAGCCGCGGUAAUACGGAGGGUGCAAGCGUUAAUCGGAAUUACUGGGCGUAAAGCGCACGCAGGCGGUCUGUCAAGUCGGAUGUGAAAUCCCCGGGCUCAACCUGGGAACUGCAUUCGAAACUGGCAGGCUAGAGUCUUGUAGAGGGGGGUAGAAUUCCAGGUGUAGCGGUGAAAUGCGUAGAGAUCUGGAGGAAUACCGGUGGCGAAGGCGGCCCCCUGGACAAAGACUGACGCUCAGGUGCGAAAGCGUGGGGAGCAAACAGGAUUAGAUACCCCAGUAGUC
This 465-nucleotide ribosomal RNA is filed under the name uncultured Klebsiella sp. RNAcentral's name for it is "bacterial SSU rRNA". It matches the Rfam family "Bacterial small subunit ribosomal RNA", at positions 338 to 795 of the family's 1533-position model. Lineage: Bacteria; Pseudomonadati; Pseudomonadota; Gammaproteobacteria; Enterobacterales; Enterobacteriaceae. The record is from RNAcentral.